CAAAUGCACAAAUUACUGGCCAUACAUGAGGGAGCAAAUGAGAAAUGUAGUCUUGUACUGAAAAGCAAAUACUGUGCAUGGUAUUUGUCCAGCACCUCCGGUAGCAGAAACUGCAGGUCUUGAUGAAGAGUAGUAUGAGGAGCAGAACGACGGAGAGGAGGAAGGCAAGGACAUCCAGGCUGUGAUACUGGUACCAGGCCUCUGCGCUGUCGCAGCUGGAUCCUGGCGACGCAGCGUCAGUGUCACUGGUGAGGGCCCAGGUGUGUGGAGGGGACUGCAGCUGCUCCAUGUUUCCUCUGAGGAAGGUGAGAAGGGCGGUGGGGGAGUGGCUGGCCGGCUGACCGCUCUGGCUCUCCAGCAGCUGCACCAGGAAGUUGAUGUAGCGCAUGGCCAGGCGCAGGAUCUCGUUCUUGCUCAGCUUCUUCUCCGGAGGAUGGGUGGGGAUGAGCUUGCGGAGCUCGGCGAAGGCGGUGUUGACGUUGUGCUGGCGCCAGCGCUCCCUCGUGUUGGUGAACACCUUCCUGGUCAUGAUGCUGAGUAGAGAUGCAAGGAUUAGUCGACGGAAGGAAAAUUAAUCAGCAACUGUCUUGAUAAUCGAAUAAUCGUUUUAGUCUUUUUUUUUUUUUUGCAAAAAAUGCCAAA
Molecule: long non-coding RNA, 642 nt
Organism: Xiphias gladius (swordfish)
Lineage: Eukaryota; Metazoa; Chordata; Actinopteri; Istiophoriformes; Xiphiidae
Exons: 3
Source: RefSeq, a predicted model, not a curated record